AUUGAACGCUGGCGGCAGGCCUAACACAUGCAAGUCGAGCGGAUGAAGGGAGCUUGCUCCUGGAUUCAGCGGCGGACGGGUGAGUAAUGCCUAGGAAUCUGCCUGGUAGUGGGGGAUAACGUCCGGAAACGGGCGCUAAUACCGCAUACGUCCUGAGGGAGAAAGUGGGGGAUCUUCGGACCUCACGCUAUCAGAUGAGCCUAGGUCGGAUUAGCUAGUUGGUGGGGUAAAGGCCUACCAAGGCGACGAUCCGUAACUGGUCUGAGAGGAUGAUCAGUCAAACGGGAACUGGGAACGGGGCCAGACCCCCAGGGGGGGAAGGGGUGGGGAAUAUUGGAAAAGGGGGGAAACCCUGAACCAGCCAGGCCGGGGGGGGGAAGAAGGUUUUCGGAUUUUAAAGCACUUUAAGUUGGGAGGAAGGGAAGUAAGUUAAUACCUUGCUGUUUUGACGUUACCAACAAAAAAAGCACCGGCUAACUUCGG
Molecule: ribosomal RNA, 483 nt
Filed under: uncultured bacterium
Lineage: Bacteria
Description: partial 16S ribosomal RNA
Rfam family: Bacterial small subunit ribosomal RNA
Source: RNAcentral